AUGAACGGUAAAACUUUCCCAGUCGCGCACCCAAUGGAUAGUCAUUUUUUUUCCGACUCAUUUUGGCUUGUCAUUUCGACGAACAGCCUGUGGGCGCUCCAUGCGCCAAGCUCCUCCUACUCCUCCGCCUCUCGGCCCGGCCGAGCUCCUCCGCCCGCUUCCCGUGCACGCUUGCCGCCCACGAGGAACGGCCCAGCAACUUCGCCGCCUUCUCGUGCCCGCGCGCUUGGCGCCGCGAGGACGGUGGCGUCCUGGUGUUGCACCGCCUGUGCCGCCACGCCCGGGUCGUACCUCAGCGGCGAGCGGGGCCGGAAGAGGGAGACGCGGUCGCGAGCAUCUCGGCCCAGGCUCGCAGGCGAAUCGGACGAGCUGCAGCGACAACGUGAGCCCGUGCUCGAACGGCACCUGGAUGCGCCCCAGCGAGGCGUCGGCGUUGGCGAAGUCCACGUCCGCGAGCGCCGCGCCGACGUGCGCCACCACGAGCUCGGCUCUCGCGUUGUCGCACACGACGUCUGGCACGCCCGUGGAGGCGCUGGGCACGACGCGGCGAGGGGUAGGCCUCUAGCCGGUGCAACGCGCGCCGCCUCGCCGAGAACGCCGUGCCGCAGGGGGCCAACGCCGCCGCGGCCGGAGCUUGGCGUGGCGAGGGCGCGAGGAGACGUGGCGAGGGUGCGGGACGAGCGCGGGCGGCAAGGAGGCGUGGCGAGGGCGCGCGGCAGCCAGGGCGAGGGCUCGGCGGGCAGCAACGACACGGCGACGAGGAGGCGUGGCGGCGAGCGCGGCCGGAGCGAGGAGCUCUUCGGGGGGAGAGAGAGGAGAGAUUCUUUUUUGCAUGCAAGUGGUGGGCCUGGCACAAAAAGGAGGAGAGAGUGUAGGGGAACGUUGCAUAAAAUAAUUUUUUUCCUAUGUUCACCAAGGUCAAUCUAUGAGUUCAUCUAG
This 939-nucleotide ribosomal RNA is filed under the name Triticum aestivum (bread wheat). RNAcentral's name for it is "partial small subunit ribosomal RNA". Lineage: Eukaryota; Viridiplantae; Streptophyta; Magnoliopsida; Poales; Poaceae. The record is from RNAcentral.